This 292-nucleotide ribosomal RNA is filed under the name uncultured Paeniglutamicibacter sp. Its description in RNAcentral is "partial 16S ribosomal RNA". It matches the Rfam family "Bacterial small subunit ribosomal RNA", at positions 505 to 796 of the family's 1533-position model. The record is from RNAcentral. Lineage: Bacteria; Bacillati; Actinomycetota; Actinomycetes; Micrococcales; Micrococcaceae.
GUGUCAGCAGCCGCGGUAAUACGUAGGGCGCAAGCGUUAUCCGGAAUUAUUGGGCGUAAAGAGCUCGUAGGCGGUUUGUCGCGUCUAUCGUGAAAGUCCGAGGCUCAACUUCGGAUCUGCGGUGGGUACGGGCAGACUAGAGUGAUGUAGGGGAGACUGGAAUUCCUGGUGUAGCGGUGAAAUGCGCAGAUAUCAGGAGGAACACCGAUGGCGAAGGCAGGUUACUGGGCAGUUACUGGCGCUGAGGAGCGAAAGCAUGGGUAGCGAACAGGAUUAGAAACCCGAGUAGUCC